This 377-nucleotide ribosomal RNA is filed under the name uncultured bacterium. Its description in RNAcentral is "bacterial SSU rRNA". It matches the Rfam family "Bacterial small subunit ribosomal RNA", at positions 29 to 409 of the family's 1533-position model. The record is from RNAcentral.
AUUGAACGCUGGCGGCAUGCCUUACACAUGCAAGUCGAACGGUAACGCGGGGCAACCUGGCGACGAGUGGCGAACGGGUGAGUAAUAUAUCGGAACGUGCCCAGUAGUGGGGGAUAGCCCGGCGAAAGCCGGAUUAAUACCGCAUACGACCUAAGGGUGAAAGCGGGGGAUCGCAAGACCUCGCGCUAUUGGAGCGGCCGAUAUCAGAUUAGGUAGUUGGUGGGGUAAAGGCCUACCAAGCCUACGAUCUGUAGCUGGUCUGAGAGGACGACCAGCCACACUGGGACUGAGACACGGCCCAGACUCCUACGGGAGGCAGCAGUGGGGAAUUUUGGACAAUGGGCGCAAGCCUGAUCCAGCCAUGCCGCGUGCGGGAA